GACGAACGCUGGCGGCGUGCUUAACACAUGCAAGUCGAACGGAAAGGCCCUGCUUUUGUGGGGUGCUCGAGUGGCGAACGGGUGAGUAACACGUGAGUAACCUGCCCUUGACUUUGGGAUAACUUCAGGAAACUGGGGCUAAUACCGGAUAGGAGCUCCUGCUGCAUGGUGGGGGUUGGAAAGUUUCGGCGGUUGGGGAUGGACUCGCGGCUUAUCAGCUUGUUGGUGGGGUAGUGGCUUACCAAGGCUUUGACGGGUAGCCGGCCUGAGAGGGUGACCGGCCACAUUGGGACUGAGAUGCGGCCCAGACUCCUACGGGAGGCAGCAGUGGGGAAUAUUGCACAAUGGGCGGAAGCCUGAGGCAGCAACGCCGCGUGCGGGAUGACGGCAUUCGGGUUGUAAACCGCUUUCGCCUGUGACGAAGCGUGAGUGACGGUAAUGGGUAAAGAAGCACCGGCUAACUACGUG
RNAcentral lists this ribosomal RNA (468 nucleotides) under uncultured bacterium. RNAcentral describes it as "partial 16S ribosomal RNA". It matches the Rfam family "Bacterial small subunit ribosomal RNA", at positions 28 to 507 of the family's 1533-position model. The record is from RNAcentral.